GAUGAACGCUGGCGGCGUGCCUAACACAUGCAAGUCGAGCGAGAAAUCUAUAAGCGAAUCUUCGGAAGAGCGAGUAGAUGGAAAGCGGCGGACGGGUGAGUAACGCGUAGGCAACCUGCCUCAUGCAGAGGGAUAGCCUCGGGAAACCGGGAUUAAGACCUCAUGACGCUGGAGGAACACAUGUUCUUCUGGUCAAAGAUUUAUCGGCAUGAGAUGGGCCUGCGUCUGAUUAGCUAGUUGGUAGGGUAACGGCCUACCAAGGCAACGAUCAGUAGCCGACCUGAGAGGGUAAUCGGCCACAUUGGAACUGAGACACGGUCCAAACUCCUACGGGAGGCAGCAGUGGGGAAUAUUGCACAAUGGGCGAAAGCCUGAUGCAGCAACGCCGCGUGAGCGAAGAAGGCCUUUGGGUCGUAAAGCUCUGUUGGAAGGGAAGAAAGAAAUGACGGUACCUUCUGAGGAAGCCCCGGCUAACUACGUG
Molecule: ribosomal RNA, 481 nt
Filed under: uncultured bacterium
Lineage: Bacteria
Description: bacterial SSU rRNA
Rfam family: Bacterial small subunit ribosomal RNA
Source: RNAcentral